AAUUUAAUCAAGGACUGAGGACACAAGAGGGUCUCUAAUCUAUAUUAGCUAGUCUUAGUUUAGGUGGUAACCUAAGCACAACGAAUUGACUAAGACAUAUAUACUUUCUACUGAGAGUUAAAAGGUAUGAAUCUCUUCACCAUAAAAAAAAAUCUUUAGUCUUUUUGGUUAAAAAUGGUUGAACAUAAAGUUGGUAUAUUAAA
Long non-coding RNA from Cucurbita moschata (crookneck pumpkin), 203 nucleotides. RefSeq lists it as uncharacterized. The record is from RefSeq and is a predicted model, not a curated record. The transcript is spliced from 2 exons. NCBI's taxonomy places the organism in Eukaryota, Viridiplantae, Streptophyta, Magnoliopsida, Cucurbitales, Cucurbitaceae.